Molecule: non-coding RNA, 99 nt
Filed under: Ruminiclostridium cellobioparum subsp. termitidis
Lineage: Bacteria; Bacillati; Bacillota; Clostridia; Eubacteriales; Oscillospiraceae
Also listed under: 1 other name
Description: Clostridium termitidis Glycine sequence
Rfam family: Glycine riboswitch aptamer
About the family: This family represents the bacterial glycine riboswitch. Glycine riboswitches usually consist of two metabolite-binding aptamers domains with similar structures in tandem.
Source: RNAcentral
AUGAUGGAGGCAGGAGAGACCGUUUUCGGCACCGAAGAAGAAAAUUGCAAUAGGUCGUAUUGCAGUGAACCUUUCAGGUAAAAGGACUGUUUUCGGACA